RNAcentral lists this ribosomal RNA (119 nucleotides) under Pteropus vampyrus (large flying fox). Lineage: Eukaryota; Metazoa; Chordata; Mammalia; Chiroptera; Pteropodidae. The record is from RNAcentral.
AUCUACGGCCAUGCCACCCUGGGCAGGCCCAAUCUUGUCUGAUCUCAGAAGCUAAGCAGGGGCGGGCCUGGUUAGUACUUGGAUGGGAGACCACCUCAGAAUACCAGGUGCUGCAGACG